ACGAACGCUGGCGGCGUGCUUAACACAUGCAAGUCGCACGGAAAGGCCCUGCUUGCAGGGUACUCGAGUGGCGAACGGGUGAGUAACACGUGGGUGAUCUGCCCUGCACUUCGGGAUAAGCCUGGGAAACUGGGUCUAAUACCGGAUAGGAGCCAUUUUUAGUGUGAUGGUUGGAAAGUUUUUUCGGUGUAGGAUGAGCUCGCGGCCUAUCAGCUUGUUGGUGGGGUAAUGGCCUACCAAGGCGGCGACGGGUAGCCGGCCUGAGAGGGUGGACGGCCACAUUGGGACUGAGAUACGGCCCAGACUCCUACGGGAGGCAGCAGUGGGGAAUAUUGCACAAUGGGCGCAAGCCUGAUGCAGCGACGCCGCGUGGGGGAUGACGGCCUUCGGGUUGUAAACUCCUUUCGCUAGGGACGAAGCUUUUUGUGACGGUACCUAGAGAAGAAGCACCGGCUAACUACGUG
RNAcentral lists this ribosomal RNA (464 nucleotides) under uncultured bacterium. Its description in RNAcentral is "partial 16S ribosomal RNA". It matches the Rfam family "Bacterial small subunit ribosomal RNA", at positions 29 to 507 of the family's 1533-position model. The record is from RNAcentral.